Cajanus cajan (pigeon pea) is the source of this 1485-nucleotide non-coding RNA. The record is from RefSeq and is a predicted model, not a curated record. Lineage: Eukaryota; Viridiplantae; Streptophyta; Magnoliopsida; Fabales; Fabaceae.
AAAGAAAAAAAAAAAAAAAGAAAAAAAGAGGAAUUAGGGAAGAUACUAUAAAUAUCUGGUGCACUGGUUGGUUGGAGUAGCUUUUCUUCAUUUCCGCAAUUCUCAGACGAAUCCCUAAUUUCGUCACAGGUAGUAACAAUGAUGAUUGAGAGAAAAUCAGAAGAGGAUAAAAUUAGUGCAUUACCAGAUGAUGUUCUGUGUCUCAUCCUUUCUUUCCUUACGCUCAAGGAAGCCAUAGCUACAUCAUUGUUAUCUACAAGGUGGAGAUUUGUGUGGACCAUGCUUCCAUCUCUUCACAUUGGGUGCGCCAAACCAAUCAUGAAACACUACAAGAGUGUCAACGUGUUUUUAGCUCUACGUAGAACAGAAAAGAUCACAAGCUUUCAACUCAAAUGCAAUAGCGAUCAUGAUUGUUGCUCAAAUUAUGUGGAAGAAUGGAUCUCUAAAGUGGUAGCAAGAAAAGUUGAACAAGUGCAUAUCUCCUUAUGCAGACGGAGCCAGGAUUUCAAUACUAGGGGACCGAGAAUAAAUUCCAAAGUGAUACCACAUAGCAGGCCGUACCAGAAGUCCAAAAGUUGAAUAAAAAAAUAAAUUUGGGUUAUUCAUUUAAUUAUACAUAUGAGUUUAUAUUAAAAAUAGGGGGUGCCAUAUAGUAAUAUAUAUGUAUAUAAAAAAAAAUUAAAAUUGUUGGGGGGGCCGUGGCACCCGUAGGUCCCCCCUUGGCUCCGUCCUUGUGCACGUCCGAUGAUAGGUUCCUCAACUGGGCUCCCUUGUUUCAUUGCACCACAAUUGCCACCUUGAAACUGGAACGGUUUUACCUGAGGUAUUAUCUCAAAGAGUUCACCAUUGUGCGUAACUCUCGAUAUACUCGAUGCAUUGAUCGCAACCAUUUAUAUGACAUUGUCAUGCAAUGUGAUUAUGAUUUUAUCUCAAACUAUAUGAAGAUUCGUGGUUGGCGAAAUAUCAAGAAAACCAAGGUUUAUAUAACAAUGUAUCAUGAUAUGAAGGAGACUGUUUCUGAGAUUCUCCAAAGAGUAUGUAGUGUUGAGUUUCUCUCUUUGAAAUAUUGUAGGGAUGACAUUAACCCUUUUCCUCUUGAUCUUCCAUUGUUUAAGAAUUUAGUUGAGCUACGACUUUUUCUUAAAAAGGAUGACUCUUUGAUAAAGGAACUUCCUGCGAAGUGUCCUAACCUUCAAGUUCUUGAAGUUACUAACUUGGAUGAUCGUGAGAGAUGUCGAUAUAACUUCAUUGGAGGAGCAAGGGUGCACGACCUAUCGAUUGUUCCUAUUUGACCUAAUAAGCUCUUAUUGUGAGAUAAUUGAUAGAGACUUAGUUAUUGCUUUCUAAGAGCAAAAUUUUUAGGUGUUGUUUGAGAAGUUCUUAUUACUUUUCCACUCACUUUUCUGAUUCAGCUAGUUUUAUUGUUAGACUCAAGUGUAGGUAAUGGCUUUAACUUUUAUUCAAUAAAUUCCAUUGUAUUUUUUU